GGGUGCCCAGCGCAGGGACCGUGUCUCCGGGGGCCGCGUGCACCAUAACAGAAGCGGUUGGGGUUAUUCAAGUGUAGCUGUGAUGAAAACCGCGCAGGCUGGGUCCAUUAGGGCCCUGGCUUUGUUUACCACAGGAAGGCGAACGCUAGAGAGGAAACGCAUGCGCGUACGAGUCGACCGGGGGGGCGCGAGUAGGGCAGGGGAGCAGAUGUGCCGAGGGCGCCUGUUGCUGCUAGAGAGCAUGCGCAGUUGGCUCGCAAGGGGGGGGGGUUUAAGCCAUGUACGUAUUGCGGAUGCGCAGCAUGGUCUGUUUCUGCGCAUGCGCCCCGGGCCUCAUUCCCAGCCACGGCGCCGCGCAGUUUACAAACUGAUGGUGAGCGGCGCGUGCUGCCCCCAAGUCUCCGUCUGGCCGCUGUCCCCUAGCCACCGUCACCCGACCCCGAUCCCCCGGCAGUGAGCGGGAAGAGCGCGCGCUGUGCAGCGCAGGGGGCUCCGGGCUGUCGGCUGCCCCGGGGCGGUGGCUGGACCUGUUCUUUGUGCGGCGGCGGCAGAGCCCGGCCCAACGGCAGCGGGAGCACGCGCCGCCAUUUCCUCACGCGCCCUCGGCACAACCUCAUCCGCUGGCUGCUGCCUGAUUGGGACUAGGCGAUCUCCGGACAGGAUCAGGCUCGGACCAUGUCGACGGAAGGCGAAUCGGAGCCGAGUCUUGCUUCCAGCAUGAUGCUGAACACGGAGGGCGGCGAGGGCUUCGUGGUGAAGGUGCGCGGGCUGCCUUGGUCCUGCUCCGCCGAGGAGGUCCAGAGAUUCUUCUCCGAAUGCAAAAUUCAAAAUGGAGCUUCAGGUAUCCGUUUCAUCUAUACAAGAGAAGGCAGACCAAGUGGAGAAGCUUUUGUUGAACUUGAAACAGAAGAUGAUGUGAAAUUGGCACUGAAGAAAGACAGAGAAACAAUGGGACACAGAUAUGUUGAAGUUUUCAAGUCAAACAACGUUGAAAUGGAUUGGGUUCUGAAGCAUACUGGUCCUAACAGCCCUGAUACUGCUAAUGAUGGUUUUGUACGUCUUAGAGGACUUCCAUUUGGCUGUAGCAAAGAAGAAAUUGUACAGUUCUUUUCAGGGUUGGAAAUCGUGCCAAAUGGGAUAACAUUGCCGGUGGACUUCCAGGGGAGGAGUACGGGGGAGGCCUUCGUGCAGUUUGCUUCACAGGAAAUAGCUGAAAAGGCUCUAAAGAAACACAAGGAGAGAAUAGGGCACAGGUAUAUUGAAAUCUUCAAGAGUAGUCGAGCAGAAGUGCGUACUCAUUAUGAUCCUCCCCGCAAAUUACUGGCCAUGCAGAGGCCAGGUCCUUAUGACAGGCCUGGUGUUGGAAGGGGCUAUAACAGUCUUGGUAGAGGAAGUGGUUUUGAAAGAAUGAGACGUGGAGCUUAUGGUGGAGGUUAUGGAGGCUAUGACGACUACAAUGGAUAUAGUGAUGGCUAUGGCUUUGGUUCUGAUAGAUUUGGACGAGAUAUAGAAUGGACUCUUCUCUCCGCAGGCAUGUCUGACCAUAGAUAUGGAGAUGCAAGUUCUACUUUCCAAAGCACAACUGGUCACUGCGUACACAUGAGAGGAUUACCUUACAGAGCUACAGAGAACGACAUUUAUAAUUUCUUCUCACCUCUGAACCCUGUAAGAGUCCACAUUGAAAUUGGACCAGAUGGUAGAGUGACUGGAGAGGCAGAUGUUGAGUUUGCUACUCAUGAGGAUGCUGUGGCCGCCAUGUCCAAAGACAAAGCAAAUAUGCAACACAGAUAUGUAGAACUCUUCUUGAAUUCUACAGCAGGAGGAAGUGGUGGUGCAUAUGGCAGCCAAAUGAUGGGAGCAAUGGUCAAGGAAUCGGAAGGGGUAGUUCAAGAUUGGAACACUAGCACAUUGCCAGGAAACCAAUCCACUUAUGGUGCUAAUCAGCAGCUGAGUGGGGGUUAUGGAGCUGGCUAUGGCACUCAAAGCAGCAUGAGCGGCUAUGGUAAUCAGAGCGCAAUGAACAGUAGCUACUACAGCAGUGGGAACCGUGCAUCCAUGGGAGUGAAUGGAAUGGGCGGGAUGUCCAACAUGUCCAAUAUGAGUGCUGGCUGGGGAAUGUAACUGACUUUUGGUCAACCUUUUUUUAAAAAAAACAACAAAACAAAAAACUAAGUUUAACAGUUUUGCAAUACAAGCUUGUGAUUUAUGCUUUACUGUAAGUGAAAUCAGGAUUAUUUUAAAACUUCAGGUUCAGUAUUUUUGAACACAUGGAAGAAAUAAACAUUCACUUAGGAUGUAAUAACCAAGUUGAGUAAAGACUAUAACUGUUAAACAAUUUUCAGCUUUUUCUCAAGUUAGUUUUGUUGUAGGAGCGUAUUUAAGCAGUAAGCGUAUUUAGGUUAAAGCUGUUUCAAUUAUGUUAAAUGUUGCUCUUAUACCAUAUUACAUCCAACACUGUUUUGAAUGCAUGUUGAAAAACAUGCUUUUUUGUAAACAAAUAUAGGAGCUGUGUCUGCAAUUCAAAGUGAACAUUUGGCAUGUUAGUUCUAGUUUAUUUCUUUUAAUAUCCUGUAAGGCACGUUUAAGCUUUUUUUUAAGUUAAUGGGGAAACAUGUUGAGACGUGAUACAGCUACUUUAGGAUUUUGGUCUUGGUGUUCAUAUAAAAUUCUGAGGCCUUGAUUUAAUCUUUCAUUGUAUGGUGAUUUCCUUUUUAGGUGUAUUGCGCUAAGUGAAACUUGUUAAAUAAAUCUUCCUUUUAAAAACUA
Molecule: non-coding RNA, 2766 nt
Organism: Chrysemys picta bellii (western painted turtle)
Lineage: Eukaryota; Metazoa; Chordata; Testudines; Emydidae
Source: RefSeq, a predicted model, not a curated record